UGAAACUCUAUUUUGCUCUUCUU
This 23-nucleotide non-coding RNA is filed under the name Arabidopsis thaliana (thale cress). The record is from RNAcentral. Lineage: Eukaryota; Viridiplantae; Streptophyta; Magnoliopsida; Brassicales; Brassicaceae.